This 492-nucleotide ribosomal RNA is filed under the name uncultured bacterium. RNAcentral describes it as "partial 16S ribosomal RNA". It matches the Rfam family "Bacterial small subunit ribosomal RNA", at positions 29 to 507 of the family's 1533-position model. The record is from RNAcentral.
AGUGAACGCUGGCGGUAGGCCUAACACAUGCGAGUCGAACGGCAGCACAGUAAGAGCUUGCUCUUACGGGUGGCGAGUGGCGGACGGGUGAGGAAUACAUCGGAAUCUACUUUUUCGUGGGGGAUAACGUAGGGAAACUUACGCUAAUACCGCAUACGACCUACGGGUGAAAGCAGGGGAUCUUCGGACCUUGCGCGAUUGAAUGAGCCGAUGUCGGAUUAGCUAGUUGGCGGGGUAAAGGCCCACCAAGGCGACGAUCCGUAGCUGGUCUGAGAGGAUGAUCAGCCACACUGGAACUGAGACACGGUCCAGACUCCUACGGGAGGCAGCAGUGGGGAAUAUUGGACAAUGGGCGCAAGCCUGAUCCAGCCAUACCGCGUGGGUGAAGAAGGCCUUCGGGUUGUAAAGCCCUUUUGUUGGGAAAGAAAAGCAGCAGGUUAAUACCCCGCAGUUCUGACGGUACCCAAAGAAUAAGCACCGGCUAACUUCGUG